This 405-nucleotide ribosomal RNA is filed under the name Salmonella enterica subsp. enterica serovar Muenchen. RNAcentral's name for it is "partial 23S ribosomal RNA". It matches the Rfam family "Bacterial large subunit ribosomal RNA", at positions 2398 to 2802 of the family's 2925-position model. The record is from RNAcentral. RNAcentral also lists the same sequence under 5 other names. Lineage: Bacteria; Pseudomonadati; Pseudomonadota; Gammaproteobacteria; Enterobacterales; Enterobacteriaceae.
UGCGAAAGCAGGUCAUAGUGAUCCGGUGGUUCUGAAUGGAAGGGCCAUCGCUCAACGGAUAAAAGGUACUCCGGGGAUAACAGGCUGAUACCGCCCAAGAGUUCAUAUCGACGGCGGUGUUUGGCACCUCGAUGUCGGCUCAUCACAUCCUGGGGCUGAAGUAGGUCCCAAGGGUAUGGCUGUUCGCCAUUUAAAGUGGUACGCGAGCUGGGUUUAGAACGUCGUGAGACAGUUCGGUCCCUAUCUGCCGUGGGCGCUGGAGAACUGAGGGGGGCUGCUCCUAGUACGAGAGGACCGGAGUGGACGCAUCACUGGUGUUCGGGUUGUCAUGCCAAUGGCACUGCCCGGUAGCUAAAUGCGGAAGAGAUAAGUGCUGAAAGCAUCUAAGCACGAAACUUGCCCCGA